UGUGGACGCCAGUCUGCAUGGAGCCGGCCUUGAAAUACCACCCUUUAAUGUUUGAUGUUCUAACGUUGGCCCCUGACCGGGGUUGCGGACAGUGUCUGGUGGGUAGUUUGACUGGGGCGGUCUCCUCCUAAAGAGUAACGGAGGAGCACGAAGGUUGGCUAAUCCUGGUCGGACAUCAGGAGGUUAGUGCAAUGGCAUAAGCCAGCUUGACUGCGAGCGUGACGGCGCGAGCAGGUGCGAAAGCAGGUCAUAGUGAUCCGGUGGUUCUGAAUGGAAGGGCCAUCGCUCAACGGAUAAAAGGUACUCCGGGGAUAACAGGCUGAUACCGCCCAAGAGUUCAUAUCGACGGCGGUGUUUGGCACCUCGAUGUCGGCUCAUCACAUCCUGGGGCUGAAGUAGGUCCCAAGGGUAUGGCUGUUCGCCAUUUAAAGUGGUACGCGAGCUGGGUUUAGAACGUCGUGAGACAGUUCGGUCCCUAUCUGCCGUGGGCGCUGGAGAACUGAGGGGGGCUGCUCCUAGUACGAGAGGACCGGAGUGGACGCAUCACUGGUGUUCGGGUUGUCAUGCCAAUGGCACUGCCCGGUAGCUAAAUGCGGAAGAGAUAAGUGCUGAAAGCAUCUAAGCACGAAACUUGCCCCGAGAUGAGUUCUCCCUGACUCCUUGAGAGUCCUGAAGGAACGUUGAAGACGACGACGUUGAUAGGCCGGGUGUGUAAGCGCAGCGAUGCGUUGAGCUAACCGGUACUAAUGAACCGUGAGGCUUAACCUUACAACGCCGAAG
This 780-nucleotide ribosomal RNA is filed under the name Escherichia coli. RNAcentral's name for it is "bacterial LSU rRNA". It matches the Rfam family "Bacterial large subunit ribosomal RNA", at positions 2163 to 2925 of the family's 2925-position model. Lineage: Bacteria; Pseudomonadati; Pseudomonadota; Gammaproteobacteria; Enterobacterales; Enterobacteriaceae. The record is from RNAcentral.